This 179-nucleotide small nuclear RNA is filed under the name Peromyscus maniculatus bairdii (prairie deer mouse). RNAcentral's name for it is "U1 spliceosomal RNA (ENSPEMG00000003010.2)". It matches the Rfam family "U1 spliceosomal RNA". From Rfam's summary of the family: U1 is a small nuclear RNA (snRNA) component of the spliceosome (involved in pre-mRNA splicing). Its 5' end forms complementary base pairs with the 5' splice junction, thus defining the 5' donor site of an intron. The record is from RNAcentral. Lineage: Eukaryota; Metazoa; Chordata; Mammalia; Rodentia; Cricetidae.
AUAAGUGGGCUGCGGGACUGCUGGGGCUUGGCGGGACCUGGAGAGAAACUCUCCAGCUACUCCAGGGUGAGGUUUAUUCAUUGCAUUCCAGUUGUGCUGAACCCUGUGAUGUCCCCAAAUGUGGGAAAGUCAACUGUGUAAUUUAUUUAUAAUAUAAUAUAUGUAUGUAUUUAUUAAAA